GUCCCUACGGGAGGCAGCAGUGAGGAAUAUUGGUCAAUGGGCGAGAGCCUGAACCAGCCAAGUCGCGUGAGGGAGUACUGCCCUAUGGGUUGUAAGCCUCUUUUGUCGGAGAACAAAACCCGGGACGUGUCCCGGACUGCGUGUAUCCGAAGAAAAAGCAUCGGCUAACUCCGUGCCAGCAGCCGCGGUAAUACGGAGGAUGCGAGCGUUAUCCGGAUUUAUUGGGUUUAAAGGGUGCGUAGGCGGUCCGUUAAGUCAGCGGUAAAAUUGCGGGGCUCAACCCCGUCGAGCCGUUGAAACUGGCG
RNAcentral lists this ribosomal RNA (305 nucleotides) under uncultured bacterium. RNAcentral describes it as "bacterial SSU rRNA". It matches the Rfam family "Bacterial small subunit ribosomal RNA", at positions 335 to 638 of the family's 1533-position model. The record is from RNAcentral.